RNAcentral lists this transfer RNA (72 nucleotides) under Mycobacterium phage Myrna. It matches the Rfam family "tRNA". Rfam says of the family: Transfer RNA (tRNA) molecules are approximately 80 nucleotides in length. The record is from Rfam by way of RNAcentral. Lineage: Duplodnaviria; Heunggongvirae; Uroviricota; Caudoviricetes.
GCCUUCAUAGCUCAGUUGGUAGAGCGUCGGACUGAAAACCCGGAGGCCGUGGUUCGAUUCCACGUGUUGGCA